GGUGGUACAAGGCUGAGGCUGCCAGCAACCAUGUCUCCUGUUAGCAGAGAAGGCUAACUUACAGAAGAGAGUCAAGCCAACAUAUGAAGAGAAGCAGGGAUGAGAGGCGAAUGGAGACAGAAUCCAGGAGAUGGUGUCCUGGGUAGCUGAACUGUGGAAAGCAAAACCGUGGAUAAGGGGGAACUACUAUAUUCAAAAAUGUGCAAAAUAGAGAAGAUUUCAUUGAAGAAGUCUGCUGUUUUUGGAAUGGGAAAUUAAGAUAAAAAUUGAAGCUCUCAUCUUCUAUAACAUCAUGAGUACUUUUGAGGCAUAACUGGAACAGUUAUCUACUGUGAUUCUUGCUGGGACCAAUAACCUUCUACAAAUACCAGCAUCAGCUCCCAUGAAAGGCAAAGAGCUGACAAGUAUACGGACUGCACCUCCACAUUAAGCUACCAGGAGAAACUUCCAAGUUACCCUCUUGUCACCUAUGCCCCAAAGGUGAACACUGUAAACUGCUACAGCAUGCAAUUUAGAUUCCAUAGAAAUGUGAGGAGAAAAGUUGCAAUUAUUUCUGAACCUUCCCAUCAGCCUUGUCUCUGACAGAAUUGGCCUAUUGUGGAUGGGCUUUGUCCAGAUUAGAGAAAGUAGAAGAUGCUCUUUUGGUGUAAUUGUUCAGUGUGAGACCAAGGACCCUGGUGCUACUCCAGUCAUUGCAGCUGCAUCACAACUACCCUGACAGAGGCUUUACAAAUAGCUACUUUUACAUCAAACUACAUGCAACUUGUUUUCCCUGCUGGACUUCCAUAGUUGUGAAGCCAUGAUUACCAGAAUCUCUGAUUCAAAGAUUCUUGAUUUCUUGCUCAGGGCAAGCCAGCUGCCAUGUCGUGAGAACAAUCAAGCAGCACAUGGCAACAAAUGGAGAUGGGCAGACAUGGGCUGGCAAGAAACAGGCUUGCCAACAACAGCUUGAGUGAUCCUAAAAGUGGGUCCACUAACCCCAUGUGACUGUUGCCCUGGCCAACAACUUAACUGCAACCUCAGGAGAUACCUACCCUGAGUCAGAACCACUCAGUCAAACUACUCGUGGCAUCUUAACCCCGCGUAACUGCCCCGUUGACUGGAGGAUGGCCAUUUGACAACACAUUCUUUCCUGAGGAAACUUUUGGCUUCUGGUGACUUGGGCCCCAGGCAAUUAUGUGCCAGUCACAAACUUUCUGGCUCAUCCUAGGCUUCUCAGUCUCUGUCCCUCUAUAUUGAAUUUGAUUUUGAGAAGAAGGCAUCCAAAAGAGUUGGUGUGAACCUAAUACUGUCACAAAGCUAGGAAAAUGUUGGGUUCAACAUUUGAGACAGGAAGAGAACCCCAGCUGCCUUACUAAGACUGAUUUCUAAGAGUAAAUUAUAAAAAUGAACAUUUUCUGUCUUGUAUUUUGAAUACAAAUUUUUGCAUAUAUUCGUAACUCA
Molecule: non-coding RNA, 1443 nt
Organism: Macaca mulatta (Rhesus monkey)
Lineage: Eukaryota; Metazoa; Chordata; Mammalia; Primates; Cercopithecidae
Source: RefSeq, a predicted model, not a curated record